CCUACGGGAGGCAGCAGUGGGGAAUAUUGGACAAUGGGGGCAACCCUGAUCCAGCCAUGCUGCGUGUGUGAAGAAGGCCCUCGGGUUGUAAAGCACUUUCAGUGAGGAAGAACGCCUGGUGGUUAAUACCCAUCAGGAAAGACAUCACUCACAGAAGAAGCACCGGCUAACUCCGUGCCAGCAGCCGCGGUAAUACGGAGGGUGCGAGCGUUAAUCGGAAUUACUGGGCGUAAAGCGCGCGUAGGUGGCUUGAUAAGCCGGUUGUGAAAGCCCCGGGCUCAACCUGGGAACGGCAUCCGGAACUGUCAAGCUAGAGUGCAGGAGAGGAAGGUAGAAUUCCCGGUGUAGCGGUGAAAUGCGUAGAGAUCGGGAGGAAUACCAGUGGCGAAGGCGGCCUUCUGGACUGACACUGACACUGAGGUGCGAAAGCGUGGGUAGCAAACAGGAUUAGAUACCCUAGUAGUC
Molecule: ribosomal RNA, 465 nt
Filed under: Vreelandella stevensii
Lineage: Bacteria; Pseudomonadati; Pseudomonadota; Gammaproteobacteria; Oceanospirillales; Halomonadaceae
Description: partial 16S ribosomal RNA
Rfam family: Bacterial small subunit ribosomal RNA
Source: RNAcentral